UACGUAGGGUGCGAGCGUUAAUCGGAAUUACUGGGCGUAAAGGGUGCGCAGGCGGCGUCGCAAGUCAGGCGUGAAAUCCCCGGGCUUAACCUGGGAACUGCACUUGAAACUACGAUGCUGGAGUAUGGCAGAGGGAGGUGGAAUUCCACGUGUAGCGGUGAAAUGCGUAGAUAUGCGGAGGAACACCGAUGGCGAAGGCAAUCCCCUGGGCCUGCACUGACGCUCAUGCACGAAAGCGUGGGGAGCAAACAGG
This 253-nucleotide ribosomal RNA is filed under the name uncultured bacterium. Its description in RNAcentral is "partial 16S ribosomal RNA". It matches the Rfam family "Bacterial small subunit ribosomal RNA", at positions 524 to 776 of the family's 1533-position model. The record is from RNAcentral.